Molecule: ribosomal RNA, 469 nt
Filed under: uncultured Eubacteriales bacterium
Lineage: Bacteria; Bacillati; Bacillota; Clostridia; Eubacteriales
Description: uncultured Clostridiales bacterium partial 16S ribosomal RNA
Source: RNAcentral
CACGUAGUUAGCCGGGGCUUCUUCUGCAGGUACCGUCAUCUUCGUCCCUGCUGAUAGAGCUUUACAUACCGAAAUACUUCUUCACUCACGCGGCGUCGCUGCAUCAGGGUUCCCCCCCAUUGUGCAAUAUUCCCCACUGCUGCCUCCCGCAGGAGUCUGGGCCGUGUCUCAGUCCCAAUGUGGCCGGUCGCCCUCUCAGGCCGGCUACCGAUCGUCGCCUUGGUGGGCCGUUACCCCUCCAACUAGCCUAAUCGGACGCGGAUUCAUCCUACACCGAUAAAUCUUUCCCUGUUCUCUCAUGCGAGAAUACAGUCUAUGCGGUAUUAGCAGCCGUUUCGCUGUUACUCCCCUGUGUAGGGCAGAUUAUCCACGCGUUACUCCACCCGUCCGCCACUUGAUAAGAAUGCAAGCAUCUCUUACUCCCGUUCGACUUGCUACGUGUGUUAGGCCACCGCCCGCCUAAGUCGUU